RNAcentral lists this ribosomal RNA (451 nucleotides) under uncultured Acidobacteriota bacterium. Its description in RNAcentral is "bacterial SSU rRNA". It matches the Rfam family "Bacterial small subunit ribosomal RNA", at positions 38 to 521 of the family's 1533-position model. Lineage: Bacteria; Pseudomonadati; Acidobacteriota. The record is from RNAcentral.
GGCGGCGUGCCUAACACAUGCAAGUCGCACGAGAAAGGGGAGCAAUCCCUGAGUAAAGUGGCGCACGGGUGAGUAACACGUGAAUAAUCUACCUCCGAGUGGGGAAUAACUGAGAGAAAUCUUAGCUAAUACCGCAUAACACUUACGAGUCNAAGCAGCAAUGCGCUUGGAGAGGAGUUCGCGGCCGAUUAGUUAGUUGGCGGGGUAAUGGCCCACCAAGACGAUAAUCGGUAUCCGGCCUGAGAGGGCGCACGGACACACUGGAACUGAAACACGGUCCAGACUCCUACGGGAGGCAGCAGUGGGGAAUUUUGCGCAAUGGGGGAAACCCUGACGCAGCAACGCCGCGUGGAGGAUGAAAUAUCUUGGUAUGUAAACUCCUUUCGAUGGGGAAGAUUAUGACGGUACCCAUAGAAGAAGCCCCGGCUAACUUCGUGCCAGCAGCCGCGGU